Molecule: long non-coding RNA, 873 nt
Filed under: Callithrix jacchus (white-tufted-ear marmoset)
Lineage: Eukaryota; Metazoa; Chordata; Mammalia; Primates; Cebidae
Description: lncRNA (ENSCJAG00000081771.1)
Source: RNAcentral
AAAGAACAAAAGAGCUGGUACAUAUUGUUAAUUAAACUAAUUAGUUUUUAAUAAUGACUAGAAUUUGUAUAUAUUGCUUAGAAAGAAUUUAUAAAAAAUUUAAUUGCUUUGAAUAGUUUAAGUCUCUUAUGAAGCCCAUGAUUUAAAAUUCUUUGAAAUCUCACUGUCUAGGGAAGAUACUACAAUGUGACUUGUUAUAAAUAAUUCAAAAAUUUAAUCAAAAUGUUCAUUUCAGAUUCUUUGAAAACAAGUAAUGAUUCCUUUUGGUAACUGGCUCAUGUCUUUUCCAGGAAAUACAAGGUGAAAACUAUAAACAUGAUGUACCAGCCAAAGGAAGAGAAGUUUAGACACAGACCUGAACAAAAGGAAGAUGAUGUGAAGACAGAGGGAGAAGAUGGCCAUCUAGAGGCCAAGGUAGUCUUGAGAUUCAUUUCAUACAGCUUCUCAGAGACUGAUUCCGAAAGAUGCAGCAAUUCAUCAUGUUUUACUGUGGCCAGCUUGACAAUGCAUCACCAUUUUCUUCCCUGCCUCACUCCCCAACCCCUCAUUCUUGCUUCUGUACACUCCCUAAAAAGUAGAUGCAAGUAGACCUUCUUAAGGCUCAGCUUUUUCCCCUUCCUCUUUUUUCAAGCUAAGACAAGGAGUUUGCCUGUCCUUACAGCCUCCAGUUGGAAAUGAACCUAGUACUCCUUAGCUCUUCGAGUGCCAGAAUUAUAUGUAGAGAAGAAUUUUUACAUUGUUACCCAUGCCCUAACACCUGAUCCUUGGUAGGAGAUUGAGGGUUCAGUCUUUAAAGGUGAGGUUCCCCCCAAAAUCAUUACAUAUGAAACUUCCUUACCAUUUCCAGUAUCACAUUCCACUUAUGUAUGUUUC